UACGGAGGGUGCAAGCGUUGUUCGGAAUCACUGGGCGUAAAGGGCGUGUAGGCGGUCCGCUAAGUCUGAUGUGAAAGCCCGGGGCUCACCCCCGGAAGGGCAUUGGAAACUGGCGGACUCGAGUCUCGGAGAGGAAGGUGGAAUUCCUGGUGUAGCGGUGAAAUGCGUAGAUAUCUGGAGGAAUACCGGUGGCGAAGGCGGCAUCCUGGACCGGCAUUGACGCUGAGGAGCGAAAGCCAGGGGAGCAAACGGG
This 253-nucleotide ribosomal RNA is filed under the name uncultured bacterium. RNAcentral describes it as "partial 16S ribosomal RNA". It matches the Rfam family "Bacterial small subunit ribosomal RNA", at positions 524 to 776 of the family's 1533-position model. The record is from RNAcentral.